CGCUCCACUAGCGUAUCUUCAAGUUGUUGCGGUUAAAAAGCUCGUAGUUGGAUCUCGGCGGGCAGGGGGGGGUUCGCUCUUCAGCGCUACUGCCCCGCUUUGCCCGUGUGAUUGGCGGGGGUUUCGGGGUGCUCUUCGUUGAGUGGCUCGGAGCGCCGUCAGGUUUACUUUGAAAAAAUUAGAGUGCUCAAAGCAGGCUUUUCACGCUUGAAUAUUCGUGCAUGGAAUAAUGGAAUAGGAACUCGUUUCUAUUUUGUUGGUUUUCGGAAAUCGAGUUAAUGAUUAACAGGGACAAUUGGGGGCAUUAGUAUUCAGACGACAGAGGUGAAAUUCUUGGACCGUCUGAAGAAGGACGAAGGAGAAAGCAGGGGAAAAGAGGGGUUUCA
RNAcentral lists this ribosomal RNA (386 nucleotides) under marine copepod environmental sample. Its description in RNAcentral is "partial small subunit ribosomal RNA". It matches the Rfam family "Eukaryotic small subunit ribosomal RNA", at positions 587 to 972 of the family's 1831-position model. The record is from RNAcentral. Lineage: Eukaryota; Metazoa; Arthropoda; Copepoda.